GAUGAACGCUGGCGGCGUGCCUAAUACAUGCAAGUAGAACGCUGAAGCUUGGUGCUUGCACCGAGCGGAUGAGUUGCGAACGGGUGAGUAACGCGUAGGUAACCUGCCUCUUAGCGGGGGAUAACUAUUGGAAACGAUAGCUAAUACCGCAUAAAAGACGAUAUCGCAUGAUAUUGAUUUGAAAGAUGCAAUUGCAUCACUAAGAGAUGGACCUGCGUUGUAUUAGCUAGUUGGUGAGGUAACGGCUCACCAAGGCGACGAUACAUAGCCGACCUGAGAGGGUGAUCGGCCACACUGGGACUGAGACACGGCCCAGACUCCUACGGGAGGCAGCAGUAGGGAAUCUUCGGCAAUGGGGGCAACCCUGACCGAGCAACGCCGCGUGAGUGAAGAAGGUUUUCGGAUCGUAAAGCUCUGUUGUAAGAGAAGAACGAGUGUGAGAGUGGAAAGUUCACACUGUGACGGAACUACCAGAAA
This 477-nucleotide ribosomal RNA is filed under the name Streptococcus parasanguinis. Its description in RNAcentral is "bacterial SSU rRNA". It matches the Rfam family "Bacterial small subunit ribosomal RNA", at positions 28 to 489 of the family's 1533-position model. The record is from RNAcentral. Lineage: Bacteria; Bacillati; Bacillota; Bacilli; Lactobacillales; Streptococcaceae.